This 317-nucleotide unclassified non-coding RNA is filed under the name Hebeloma mesophaeum. RNAcentral's name for it is "partial internal transcribed spacer region". The stretch from base 1 to 46 matches the Rfam family "Eukaryotic small subunit ribosomal RNA", at positions 1786 to 1831 of the family's 1831-position model. Lineage: Eukaryota; Fungi; Basidiomycota; Agaricomycetes; Agaricales; Hymenogastraceae. The record is from RNAcentral.
AAGUCGUAACAAGGUUUCCGUAGGUGAACCUGCGGAAGGAUCAUUAUUGAAUGAACUUGGUGUGGUUGUUGCUGGCCCUUUCGGGGGCAUGUGCACACCCAUCAUUCUCAUCUCUCCACCUGUGCACCUCUUGUAGACUUGGAUUGACUUUCCGAGGCAACUCGGUCGGGAGGACUUGCUGGCAUUAGCUGGCUUUCCUUGCAUUUCCAAGUCUAUGUUUUUUCAUAUACCCCAUUGAAUGUAACAGAAUGUAACAUAUUGGGCCUUUGUGCCUAUAGAAACUUAUACAACUUUCAGCAACGGAUCUCUUGGCUCUC